Molecule: unclassified non-coding RNA, 282 nt
Filed under: air metagenome
Description: partial contains small subunit ribosomal RNA, internal transcribed spacer 1, and 5.8S ribosomal RNA
Rfam family: Eukaryotic small subunit ribosomal RNA (bases 1-46)
Source: RNAcentral
AAGUCGUAACAAGGUUUCCGUAGGUGAACCUGCGGAAGGAUCAUUAUCGAGUUCAGAAUGUGGGCUUGAGCUGGCGCUUCGGCGCAAGUGCUCGGCCCCGCUCAUCCACUCAACCCCUGUGCACUUUAGAGGUGUGGUUCCCCCGUCAAUGGGAGCCGCCGGCGCGAGCUGGCUGGGAUCGCGCCUCGACCCUUCACACAAACCCCUGAAAAGUCUAGUGAACGUGAAUCGCGUCAGCGAUGAAACUUAAUACAACUUUCAACAACGGAUCUCUUGGCUCUC